UACGUAGGGAGCAAGCGUUGUCCGGAUUUACUGGGUGUAAAGGGCGCGUAGGCGGGAUAACAAGUCAGGUGUGAAAUCCGGGGGCUCAACCCUCGAACUGCACUUGAAACUGUUAUUCUUGAGUGAUGGAGAGGCAAGUGGAAUUCCUAGUGUAGCGGUGAAAUGCGUAGAUAUUAGGAGGAACACCAGUGGCGAAGGCGACUUGCUGGACAUUAACUGACGCUGAGGCGCGAAAGCGUGCGGAGCAAACAGGAUUAGAUACCCCGGUAGU
RNAcentral lists this ribosomal RNA (271 nucleotides) under uncultured prokaryote. RNAcentral's name for it is "partial 16S ribosomal RNA". It matches the Rfam family "Bacterial small subunit ribosomal RNA", at positions 524 to 794 of the family's 1533-position model. The record is from RNAcentral.